Penaeus indicus is the source of this 2279-nucleotide long non-coding RNA. RefSeq lists it as uncharacterized. NCBI's taxonomy places the organism in Eukaryota, Metazoa, Arthropoda, Malacostraca, Decapoda, Penaeidae. The record is from RefSeq and is a predicted model, not a curated record. The transcript has 6 exons.
UCUCAUUUCUCUUUUGCUUUAUUUACAGGUCGGUUCGAAAUUAUUAAGAGAAAAUGGCGUCGUGGAAGAGAGGCGGAGGAGCACGUGGGCGGCCGUUGGGGUUUGGACCGACGUGGCUCUUUAGUGUCUCGAAAGUCUGGAAACUGGAUUUGUUCAUGGCGUAUUGCAGAUGAGUGAAGUGGAAUAACAGCAUGUAGCACAGAAAGACGAAGCUCCACCUAUUCCUGGGGUUUGGGAAAGCAAAAGUGAAGUGGAAAUAACAGCAUGACUCUGCAGAAAGUCUAGAAGCUGGAAUGAUUCCCAGAGUGGCAGUUGAAUGAGGUGGAAUAGCUGCUAGUAGCAUAGAAAGACUGGAAGCUGGAACUAUUCCUUUGAAGUUUGGGAAAGCAAGAGUGAAAUGAAAAUACCAUGAUAGUGCAGAAAGUUUGGGGUGUCAUGUAGCUGAAGUGACAGUUAAGACCAGGGAAAAAAAUUUGUAAUGCAGAAGUCGUGUUUCUUCAGUAGUGAUAAUGCACCGUGUAGCAGCUUUGAAGAGUCGGUUAACCUCGAGUAGGCAUGUUGCCUAGCUUCUUGUUCUAUUGUUGAAAGUGUAUUUUAAAGUUGACUGAAUAUAGGUAAUAGAGGUUCUUGCUGGCAGAGGUCUUCAACACUGGUUAUGAUGCAGAAACUUAGUUGUGUAUGUACAUUAGCUUUGUAAGAAAUUCUAGCUUGAAGUAUACUACACUAUAGACAAACAAGUAGAAAGAUGUUUAAAAAAAAUUUGUAAUAAAAUCAGAUGCUAACCUUACUUUUACUUCCCUAUAAAACUAUUAAGCAAAUAUUGACUUAAUUCAUACAGCUCUAGAAAUUGGAACUAACAGUCCAUAUAUUAGAAUGUGAGAAUGCAACCUGCCAAUUAACUACAUGGAAGGACACUAAAUGUAUCUUUUGUAGUACAUGGUGUACUUGAAUAUAUUGACUAUCAUGUACACAUAUAGUAACUUUUACUGCAGCUGUACCUUGGUCUUUUUAUUUAAAAUUAAUCCUACUGUUGAGAAAUGUUGAGUAAAUGGGGUAAGUAGGGAUAAGCAAGGUGGGCAUUUGGUCAAGUGAAGGAUAUAUACAGGUUUUAUAAGUUUUAAGAGUGGGAUUCUGUAAUGUCUAAAGGCUCUCCAGAUGAGUGGCCCGAUUGCUGUUAAUGGGUACAUUUGAGGGGUAAAUUGUCAAAUUUCCUGAAUGCCUGAUGAGCAAUAUCACCAGGCAGUGCCUGGUGACUUGAGCUGUUUUAUUGUUUUUUUCCAUCAUAUGGCUAUUAUAAAAAGUACUUAUUCUCAUUCUUAAAUAUUUUCUGAAAUCUUGCUCAUGGCCAUGUAGUUCCCUUAGUAUUGUGUGGCAUCCAUAAACAUCUUUUAUUAAGCUAAUCUUUGCACCAUAUGCUACACAAAGGGGAGCCAGGAAGCCUUUGUCUAUGAGCUAGUUGAAAAAGGCAUGAUUGGUAGGCACAUGGGUGGGCACAAGUAGGCGAGAAAACAAGGAAACUACUUGUUUACCAAAUAGUUUUCCAUGUCCUCUCAGUGAUGUUACCCUUACAGUUGUCUGCUCAUCAUCUCAGUUCCUCAAAUAAAGGGGACCAAUUGCCUGAAUAAGGUAUAAUGGUAUAAGUAAAAUUUAAAAAUUCAUUAUUGGCUAUGGUAAGCCUGGAGUAUGUUGGGAAGACAUACUAUCCAUUGUUUGGUCCAUCCUUCAGUCCCCAUCAGGGGUAAUUUUUACAUUUAAAAAUGUUCUGCUGUAUCAACAUCUGAGGUCAUUAGUGGCCUAUACAAAAUGUAGUAAUAGGGUGGGACUUGGGGAAAUGAAUUUUGGGUCAUAAAGCAUUAGGAUAAAAUAUUGUCAAAAAGGGUGACAAUGAGUUAACAAUUAGGAUAAAUAGACUGAAAGAGAUGAAGAUAAGGAAAUGGAGAGGGGGGGAGAAGAAAAGACAAAGCAAAAUUGAGGGGAGGCUGAGGACCAAGGUAGGGGUCAUAACCUCCUAUUUGUUCCUCCUGAGUAUUAAUGGAACAAAUUACAAGAAUGUAUUUCAUAACGGGAUCAACCCCUACCUUGGGCCUCAGUCCUCACCAACUAAUUUUGCAUGGUCUUUUCUCCUUUCCAUUUCCUUCUUGCCUUCAUCCCUUCCCCCCCUCGCCUCCUAAUCCCUUGCUUCUUGUCGUUGGGGGGCUUAGGAGACAGGGAUUGAGGCCCAAUGUAGGGUAUCACCUCAACAUUGGUCCUCAGCCCUCGCCUCAACUACUUUUGCAUUG